GCUUACGGCCACACCGCCUGGUUCACGCCCGAUCUCGUUUGAUCUCGGAAGCUAAGAUAGGUUGGGCCUGGUUAGUACUUGAUGGGAGACCGCCUGGGAAUACCAGCUGCUGUAAAAA
RNAcentral lists this ribosomal RNA (118 nucleotides) under Scophthalmus maximus (turbot). The record is from RNAcentral. Lineage: Eukaryota; Metazoa; Chordata; Actinopteri; Pleuronectiformes; Scophthalmidae.